Brassica napus (rape) is the source of this 936-nucleotide long non-coding RNA. RefSeq lists it as uncharacterized. NCBI's taxonomy places the organism in Eukaryota, Viridiplantae, Streptophyta, Magnoliopsida, Brassicales, Brassicaceae. The record is from RefSeq and is a predicted model, not a curated record. The transcript has 2 exons.
UAAUUAAUGCAAGUUUAUGUUUAUAUGCUUAGGUAAAUGAAUCAUGCACUUUUAUAUUAUUUUGACUAUAAUCUCAGAAAAUUAAUUGAAAGAUUUUCUUUAGAAAAAUAUAAUUAACACAAGUUUAUGUUUUUAUGUAGAUUGAUAUGCUUAGGUAAAUGAAUCAUGCACUUUUAUAUUAUUUUGACUAUAAUGUCAGAAAAUUAAUUGAAAAAUUUUCUUACAAAAAUAUAAAUAAUGCAAGUUUAUGUUUAUAUGUUUAGGUAAAUGAAUCAUGCACUUUUAUAUUAUUUUGACUAUAAUCUCAUAAAAUUAAUUGAAAGAUUUUCUUACGAAAAUAUAAUUAAUGCAAAUUUAUGUUUAUAUGCUUAGGUAAAUGAACCAUGCACUUUUAUAUUAUUUUGACUAUAAUCUCAGAAAAUUAAAAGAUUUUCUUUACAAAAAUAUAAUUAAUGCAAGUUUAUGUUUAUAUGUGUAUAUAUAUAUAUAUAUAUGUCAAUAUAAAAUAUAAUAGAACUCUCAAACAAUUUAUAAAACAUCCUACAAAAUGAGUCUCUCCAAAAAAUAUAUAUUAAUCGCAUUUGUUUUCACUCUUUUCUUCGCGAUGUCAAUUGUUCGCUGCACCGAUAUUGUUUCAGAUUUCGGAGUAAAGUAUAAUGUGUGCUAUGGUCCAUGUGACGACAAAGGAGUGUGUAGGCCGUUUUGUUCUUCCAAAAAAGGUCUGAUAAGGGGAGACUGUGCUGGCAAACGAAAAGGUUAUCUUGGCCUUUGUUGUUGUGAUGAACACUAAAUAAAAUAUUAAAUAAUAUCAUUAGAUAUUAUAUCUUGUAUGAAAUGAAAUAAUAUUACCAAUAAUACAUAAAAUGCUUUUACAAAAAAAUAUAUAAAAUGUUAUCAAAUUGAAGUUACUUUGAUUAACCUCGAGAAAACAUUAGU